UACCUGGUUGAUCCUGCCAGUAAUCAUAUGCUUGUCUCAAAGAUUAAGCCAUGCAUGUCUAAGUACAUGCCGAAAUAAGGCGAAACCGCGAAUGGCUCAUUAAAUCAGUUAUGGUUCCUUAGAUCGUUUCUUCCUACUUGGAUAACUGUGGCAAUUCUAGAGCUAAUACAUGCAGUGAGCCUGAAGCCCUUUGGGCGACGGGUGCUUUUAUUAGACCAAGAUCGAUCGGGUUUCGGCCCGUAUUGUGUGGUGACUCUGGAUAACUUUGUGCUGAUCGCAUGGCCACGAGCCGGCGACGUUUCUUUCAAGUGUCUGCCUUAUCAACUUUCGAUGGUAGGUUACUUGCUUACCAUGGUUGUUACGGGUAACGGAGAAUCAGGGUUCGAUUCCGGAGAGGGAGCCUGAGAAACGGCUACCACAUCCAAGGAAGGCAGCAGGCGCGCAAAUUACCCACUCCCGGCACGGGGAGGUAGUGACGAAAAAUAACAAUACGGGACUCUUUUGAGGCCCCGUAAUUGAAAUGAGUACACUCUAAAUCCUUUAACGAGGAUCAAUUGGAGGGCAAGUCUGGUGCCAGCAGCCGCGGUAAUUCCAGCUCCAAUAGCGUAUACUAAAGCUGCUGCGGUUAAAAAGCUCGUAGUUGGAUCUCAGUUCCAGACGAGUAGUGCAUCUACCCGAUGCGACGGCUCGGACUGAACAUCAUGCCGGUCCUUUCUUGGUGCACUUCAUUGUGUGCCCUCGAGAAGGCCGGUGCUUUUACUUUGAAAAAAUUAGAGUGCUCAACGCAGGCGAGUCGCCUGAAUAAACUUGCAUGGAAUAAUAGAACAAGACCUCGUUUCUGUUCUGUUGGUUUUUGGAAUACGAGGUAAUGAUUAAGAGGGACAGACGGGGGCAUUCGUAUUGCGGCGCUAGAGGUGAAAUUCUUGGACCGUCGCAAGACGAACUACUGCGAAAGCAUUUGCCAAGAAUGUUUUCUUUGAUCAAGAACGAAAGUCAGAGGUUCGAAGGCGAUCAGAUACCGCCCUAGUUCUGACCAUAAACGAUGCCAACCAGCGAUCCGCCUGAGUUACUCAAAUGACUCGGCGGGCAGCUUCCGGGAAACCAAAGUGUUUGGGUUCCGGGGGAAGUAUGGUUGCAAAGCUGAAACUUAAAGGAAUUGACGGAAGGGCACCACCAGGAGUGGAGCCUGCGGCUUAAUUUGACUCAACACGGGAAAACUUACCCGGCCCGGACACUGGGAGGAUUGACAGAUUGAGAGCUCUUUCUUGAUUCGGUGGAUGGUGGUGCAUGGCCGUUCUUAGUUGGUGGAGCGAUUUGUCUGGUUAAUUCCGAUAACGAACGAGACUCUAGCCUAUUAAAUAGGUGCGGGGUUCCCAGCACCUUACAACCUUCUUAGAGGGACAAGCGGCUCCUAGCCGCACGAAACAGAGCAAUAACAGGUCUGUGAUGCCCUUAGAUGUCCGGGGCCGCACGCGCGCUACACUGAAGGAAGCAGCGUGUCUUUAUCCCUGUCUGAAAAGACUGGGUAACCCGUGGAACUUCUUUCGUGAUUGGGAUAGGGGCUUGCAAUUGUUCCCCUUGAACGAGGAAUUCCCAGUAAGCGCGAGUCAUAAGCUCGCGUUGAUUACGUCCCUGCCCUUUGUACACACCGCCCGUCGCUACUACCGAUUGAAUGAUUUAGUGAGGUCUUCGGACCGAUGUCCGGCGCGGCCUUUCGGUUGCGCCGGUCUGUUGGAAAGAUGACCAAACUUGAUCAUUUAGAGGAAGUAAAAGUCGUAACAAGGUUUCCGUAGGUGAACCUGCGGAAGGAUCAUUA
RNAcentral lists this ribosomal RNA (1816 nucleotides) under Dermacentor andersoni. RNAcentral's name for it is "small subunit ribosomal RNA". It matches the Rfam family "Eukaryotic small subunit ribosomal RNA". Lineage: Eukaryota; Metazoa; Arthropoda; Arachnida; Ixodida; Ixodidae. The record is from RNAcentral.